GGCAGGCCUAACACAUGCAAGUCGAACGGGUNCUUCGGGAUUAGUGGCNNNCGGGUGAGUAACACGUGGGAACGUGCCCUUUGGUUCGGAACAACUCAGGGAAACUUGAGCUAAUACCGGAUGUGCCCUUCGGGGGAAAGAUUUAUCGCCAUUGGANCGGCCCGCGUCUGAUUAGCUAGUUGGUGAGGUAAAGGCUCACCAAGGCGACGAUCAGUAGCUGGUCUGAGAGGAUGAUCAGCCACAUUGGGACUGAGACNCGGNCCNAACUNCNACNGGAGGCNNCANUGGGNAAUCUUGCGCAAUGGGNGAAAGCCNGACGCAGCCNUGCCGCGUGAAUGAUGAAGGUCUUAGGAUUGUAAAAUUCUUUCACCGGGGACGAUA
This 381-nucleotide ribosomal RNA is filed under the name Caulobacter sp. CaGH1. RNAcentral's name for it is "partial 16S rRNA". It matches the Rfam family "Bacterial small subunit ribosomal RNA", at positions 41 to 450 of the family's 1533-position model. The record is from RNAcentral. Lineage: Bacteria; Pseudomonadati; Pseudomonadota; Alphaproteobacteria; Caulobacterales; Caulobacteraceae.